Molecule: long non-coding RNA, 1127 nt
Filed under: Coturnix japonica (Japanese quail)
Lineage: Eukaryota; Metazoa; Chordata; Aves; Galliformes; Phasianidae
Description: lncRNA (ENSCJPG00005019883.1)
Source: RNAcentral
GAGAUACCAUCCAGAUGGACCUUGACAGGUUUGAGAGGUGGGCCUGUGUGAACCUCGUGAAAUUCAGUGAGGCCAUGUGCAAGGUCCUGCACCUGGGUUGGGGCAACCCCAACCACCAAUAAAGGCUGGGCUAAGAAUGGGGGUUGUUUUGCGAAGACAGAAAAACGUUCCUCUAGAGAACUGUCCACUUAUCAGGACAACACAGAGGAAGUGAUUCAGACCAUGUGGAUAAAAAAGAAAGGCAGUAUUUUUCUCUCUUUGUCUUUUACUAAAACCAUGUCCUAAGAUGACAUAAAAUUAAUGCACGUCAUCAUAUGAAAACAGAGCCUUCAUACUAAGUAGAGUCUAUUGUCUUAGCAGCUGAAACUGCAGAACAAAAAACCCAACCCCCACAUGAAAAGAACAAGAUUAGAAUUACAAAGCUUAUUAUUCAAAAGCAGGAAAGCAACAAAAUGAAGACUGCCAGAAUUUUCUUUUUAAAAAUUUUAUCUGUGAGUAUAUGACUGUAUAGUAUCAAAAGGUCACCACUCUGUACAAGAGUGAAUAGUUACUAUACUCAAAUUAGUGAGUACUUAUGCUUAUUUUCUUCUUAUUUUUGUACAGAUAUAUUCAUGCUGUAAUACAGCACUUUGGGUAAAAUUCAGAGUAGUAAGAAGAAACUCUCAGUUUUAUAACUCUGGAACAAAGGUUCCUCUGGUGUGCCAGUAGUGCAGAAGAAAUGCGAAAGUCACCCGGCAAUUCACAACAACUUGUGGCUAAAAUUGGUUCCUUCUGUCAUUUGCGGACACUGGUCAAUAAACCUUCAAGGAUCCCUGACCCUUCAUGAUGAAAACAAAUGGAUGACCUCUAUUCUAAUUUUGUCUGGCCAUGAGGACAUACAUGAAACAAGAUAUGCAAACUUCAAGCUAUCGAGGCCCAUUGUUCCUGGGCCUGUGACCACUUGGCACUCACUGUUACGUAAAACCUCUCUGGAAUAGGUCUGUUUUGGAGACAGAUGGAGCUGUCCAAAACAGAACCAAGAAGCAAGAAUAAUCAGUACCUGAGCUCACUCUGACUCACUCCUAUUUUGUGCUACAGAUACAUUCACUGAGAACAGUAUUUCGUCCAGAAAUGAGAACUAAAUGAAU